RNAcentral lists this ribosomal RNA (416 nucleotides) under uncultured bacterium. RNAcentral's name for it is "bacterial SSU rRNA". It matches the Rfam family "Bacterial small subunit ribosomal RNA", at positions 362 to 774 of the family's 1533-position model. The record is from RNAcentral.
UAUNGGUCAAUGGACGCGAGUCUGAACCAGCNAAGCAGCGUGAAGGAUGACUGCCCUAUGGGUUGUAAACUUCUUUUAUAUGGGAAUAAAGUUUUCCACGCGUGGAAUUUUGUAUGUACCAUAUGAAUAAGGAUCGGCUAACUCCUUGCCAGCAGCCGCGGUAAUACGGAGGAUCCGAGCGUUAUCCGGAUUUAUUGGGUUUAAAGGUAGCGUAGGUGGACAGUUAAGUCAGUUGUGAAAGUUUGCGGCUCAACCGUAAAAUUGCAGUUGAUAAUGGCUGUCUUGAGUACAGUAGAGGUGGGCGGAAUUCGUGGUGUAGCGGUGAAAUGCUUAGAUAUCACGAAGAUCUCCGAUUGCGAAGGCAGCUCACUGGACUGUUGACUGACACUGAGGCUCGAAAGUGUGGGUAUCAAACA